This 270-nucleotide ribosomal RNA is filed under the name uncultured bacterium. RNAcentral describes it as "partial 16S ribosomal RNA". It matches the Rfam family "Bacterial small subunit ribosomal RNA", at positions 333 to 621 of the family's 1533-position model. The record is from RNAcentral.
UUUCGCCUACGGGACGCAGCAGUGGGGAAUAUUGGGCAAUGGGGGAACCCUGACCCAGCGACGCCGCGUGAGGGAAGAAGGUUUUCGGAUUGUAAACCUCUGUCCUUGGUGACGAUAAUGACGGUAGCCAAGGAGGAAGCCACGGCUAACUACGUGCCAGCAGCCGCGGUAAUACGUAGGUGGCGAGCGUUGUCCGGAAUUACUGGGGGUAAGGGGAGCGUAGGCGGGAGAGCAAGUCGACUGUGAAAUCUAUGGGCUUAACCAAUAGCU